This 8612-nucleotide long non-coding RNA is filed under the name Vitis vinifera (wine grape). Its description in RNAcentral is "long non-coding RNA (VVIN_LNC000910)". The record is from RNAcentral. Lineage: Eukaryota; Viridiplantae; Streptophyta; Magnoliopsida; Vitales; Vitaceae.
UUCGCAUUCUCCGGCAACGCAAACUUCCUCAUAAAUUUGCCUACCCUCCUCUCCAUUCUCACGUACUUGACGCCUUCCUUCUCUUCCUCGCGCUUCCUCUCUCCGCUGAUCACCAGCACAUUGUCGUCCUCCACCUGAACCUUGAUGUCGCCGGACUUCAGCCCCGGCAUGUCGACGAUGAAGGUGUAGGAAUUCGGGUACUCCUUGACGUCAGCAGGCGUCGCCGCCAUGGCCUUGGCGUCGCGGACGUAGGUGCGAGUGGGGGCGCUGACGGACUUGUCGGAGUCAUCGGUGGCGUCUAGCAUGUGUUGGAGGGCAGAGAAGAGUGGAGAAUCGAAGCCCAUCAUCCUCGAAUCCAUGUUGGGUUCCAGAGAUUUGUUGGUGUGAGAAUGUGAACAACUGCAAUUGCGAAUGUAGAAGUGCUUGAAUGUUGGAAGGGAUCGGAGGUAGUGAUGUGGUUUUUAUAUUAGACGAGUUGGGAAACAGAGGAAGGUUCUGGAAACAACAAGAAGGAGGAGAAUUGGGAGUUUGUAUCUGUUGGCUCUGCUCCAACGGUUCCAGAAGUUUGUGGAAGUUUCUUUAAAAUGACUAAAGUACCCCUCAUUUGUUCAUAAAAAUUACCUUUUAAAAGAAGUUCUAUUUCAACUUACACGGUAGUUCACAAAUCUUUUAUCAUAUUAUUGUCAACAAGCUAUGGUUUUGAUCAAUGCUUGAUGUAAAUUUUUAUUUUGAUUUUAGAAAAAAAAUAAAAAUAAAGACAUAAUUCUAAAAGGUAUUAUUACGGUAAAAAGUUAAACUAAAACUUUGAGAUAAAAUCAUUUUUUAGGGAACAUUUAAUAAAUCAAUUUAAUAACUUAAAGUAAAUUAAUAAUUUAAUUUAUAUUAUUAAAUAAAUUAAGUAUGUUUGAUAAAAUAAUUUAAUGAUAUAACUUAAGAAUAAAAAAUAACUUAAAGUAACAAACAAAAAUAAUUAAUUAAUUCUUAAAUUUAUAUCUUUAUUUUAAUUUUUUUACUCUUAUUUAUCCGAACUAUUUUCAUAAUCUUUUUUGUUAUUUCAUGACUUUCAUUGUUACUCAAAUUACUUUAUCCUAAUUAUAUAAUUUAUGAAGAUAAAUAUAUUAAUUUGGUGAUUUAUAAUAAAUUUUAAUUUAAUUUUAUUAAAUAACCUUAAUAUUUAAAAUAAGAAUUAAAUAAUAAUUUUUAAGUCAAUAAUUUAAAUAUAAUUUAACUUAAAAUCAAAUUAAAUAAUUAAAUAAUAAAUAAUAAAUUUUACCAAAUACCAUUUUAGAAUUGUUUUUAUAGUAAAGUUAGUUAAAUAAAUACAGAUUUUUUUAUUAAUAAGAGUUUUUGAACUUAGAUCCAACUUGUGUUUUAUCUAUUAAAAUUUAAAAGUUAUAACCAAUUAAGCAUUAACAAUUAAAAAAAAAUUACUCUUUAUUUCUAAAUCGUACAUUAAUAAUAAUUGACUAAUAAAUUAUGAACAUGGAUAAUUUGCCCCUUAUCGGUAGGAGCAUAAAUUACAUGGCAAGUCAUGUUGGGUACAUUUAACUUGGAUUGAACAAGGCGUAGAAGGAUUAAAUAGAAGUAUAUCAUUGAUGAUAAUAUUGCUUAAAUUUAUUUAAUGUCUUCAUUAUUCUAAUACCAGUCAUUAUAUUUGAUCAUUUUCAAAGAGAACAACUCUUCCCUGAGACAAAUAUGGUGUCACUCUCCCAAUCUAAAUUACAAAUUUAGAUUAUCGAAUUCCCUACCCAAAAUCCAAUCUUCCCAGUUAAAAAAAAAAGACUUGUAGUGAAGUUGUCAACCAGAGGAAAUACCACACCUUACUAUGGCUUUUUAAUUGCCGUUAAAUCUUAAAAAUUCUCCAGGAAAAAUGAAAACGAGGCAAGGAAGAGAAAAGGCAGACUUUAUUGACGGUACUGAAAAAUCAAAACUAUACAUUAUACUGUAAUGAAGAGAUCAGUAUUUUCAUCACCCCAAGCCAUUGACCCAAGAUCAAACCCAGACAAAGGCUCCUGUGGCACAGCAACAUUACCACAUUAUUUACUACUAAAACUCCAGAAAAACCCUCCCAAAACCCCCUACAUUUCAAGCAAUUUUGACCUCAAUGGUCUUGGGCUUCUUGGGUUCCGGCGGUGGCAGCUUCUCGACGGUGACGGUCAACACCCCAUCUUGACAUACAGCAGAGAUCUUAUCAGUAUUCGCAUUCUCCGGCAACACGAACUUCCUCAUAAACUUCCCCACUCUCCUCUCCAUUCUUACGUACUUGGCACCUUCCUUCUCCUCCUCUCGCUUCCUCUCUCCGCUGAUCACCAGCACAUUGCCGUCCUCCACCUGAACCUUGAUGUCGCCGGACCUCAGCCCCGGCAUGUCGACGAUGAAGGUGUAGGAAUUCGGGUACUCCUUGACGUCAGCCAGCGUCGCCGCCAUGGCCUUGGCAUCCCGGACGUAGGUGCAAGUGGCUUAAGGUUGAGGGAUUCAAAGACCUUGUUCGAACUUGUGGCAGGGGAUCAAAGUCAGUGGCAGUGCUAGUUAUAGAUUAGCUGCUAAAAUGAAGGAAGUAAAAAAGAAGCUGAAAGUAUGGAACAAAGAGGUUUUUGGGAGGCUGGAAUGCAACAAAUCUUCAGCCCUACAACAAGUAGAUUUCUGGAAUCGGGUGGAAAGCGAGAGAAACUUGACUGUGGAGGAAACUAAAUUAAAAAAGAAGCAAAAGAAACCUAUAAAAAGUGGGUUCUGUUGGAGGAAGCUCAUUGGAGAUAGCUUUCAAGGGAGAUUUGGCUAAGGGAGGGGAAUAGAAACACGGGUUUCUUCCAUCGAAUGACAAGUAUUCAUCGUAGAAACAAUGCUUUUGACAGAAUUAAGGUUAAUGGGGAGUGGCUGUCAGAGGAGCAGGAGGUGAGGGAAGAAAUUGUUAACACAUUUCAGUAGAUGCUCUCUAAAGAUAUGGAAUGAAAGGCGAAUAUUGGAAGAAUUCAUAUUGAUCACAUCAUCCGGCAAGAAGCAGAGAGUUUGGAGGUCCCAUUUACAGAGAUUGAGAUUUAUACGGCGUUGAUGGAGAUGAAUGGGGAUAAAGCCCCUGGUCUGGAUGGCUUUACUGUAGCUUUCUGGCAAAACGCUUGGGAUUUUACCAAAGAGGAGAUUCUGGAUAUGUUUAAAAAAUUUCAUGAACAUAACUCUUUUGUUAGAAGUCUCAACAAUACUUUUUUGGUAUUGAUCCCUAAGAAAAGUGGGGUUGAGGAUCUUGGAGACUUUAGACCUAUCAGUCUCUUAGGGGGCCUUUAUAAACUUUUGGCUAAAGUUCUAGCUAAUAGGCUAAAAAAAGUGAUUAGUAAGGUGGUCUCCAUUGCCCAGAAUGCCUUUGUAACAGGAAGACAAAUUCUUGAUGCGUCAUUAAUUGCUAGUGAGGUGAUAGAUUCAUGGCAGAAGAGAAAAGAGAAGGGCCUUAUAUGCAAAUUGGAUAUAGAAAAAGCUUAUGACAACAUCAAUUGGAAAUUCUUAAUGAAGGUCUUACAAAAAAUGGGUUUUGGGGCUAAGUGGGUGGGAUGGAUGUGGAGUUGCGUGUCCUCUACCAAAUUCUUAGCUCUUGUUAAUAGAGUACCAACUGGUUUUUUCCCUAGCACUAAAGGGCUUAGACAAAGAGAUCUUCUAUCCCCUUAUCUUUUUUGUAAGGAAUUUGAGGCUAAUCCAAACUAUGCUAAUCACCCUAGAGAGGGGGGGUAAAUAGGGUGAUGGUCUCUUUUUCACAAAUUUAAACUAUGCAAAAAUAAGAGAUAAUUAUAUGCAAAUAUAUAAUAAACAAAAUAAACACAAUUACAUAUAAUUUAAAAGAGUUAGGGAAGAGAGAGUGCAAACAUGAGAGUUUAUAGUGGUUCGGCACUUCCUUGCCUACGUCCACUCUCCUCAACCUUUUAACCGAGUGAGGGUUCCACUAUCUUGAAGUUUCAACCAAACUUCCAAUCUCUUUACAAUUGGAUUAUGGUUCUAAUUCACCCUCUUAGACUUUUGGCUCCAAGCACCUUUUACACUUCUUAAGAGUUAUCCCACUCUUGAACAACCUCUCAAGUGAUACCCCUCACUUGAGAAAAUUCAUCUAAAAAAUAUACAAAGAUUGAUCUCACAAAGAUCCUAGUAAUAGAACUUUAGGCUCAAAAAUACAAGAAAAACUAGGAUUGAAUGGUACACUAAAGAUAUGCAAGUUAUGAAACAAUGGUGCACUCAAAAACACUCUUCCAAGGCUCAAAUAUAAUCAAGAAUGAUUUGGGAAGGUUAAGCUUAUGAAACAAUGAAGAUUGAAGCCUUUUUAUAGAAGAAAAAAGUCAAACUAGCCGUUGGGGGUUCGACCGGUCGAGCUAGGUGUCGACUGGUUGACUAGCCGUUAGGGAAAGUGACCGUUGGGCCUCAACCGGACCUCAACCGGUCCUCAAUUGGACCUCAACCGAACCUCAACCGAACCUCAACCGAUUGAGGUUCAACCUUGACUGGGAAGAGAAUGCCACUGGGAGAGAGAGAAACUUUUUGGCCUCCCUCAACCGGUCCUCGACCGGACGAGCACAACCGGUCGACCGGUUGAACCAGUUGAGCCAUUUUUUUGGCUCAACACUCAACCCUUUUCAACUUAAAACCUUUUAACACAAGUUUGAAAAUCAUUUAACAGAAGGUUUUAGUUGAAAACAUGAAAUCAUCCAAUUCUUAAGAUAUUUAAAACAAUAUUACUUUUGGAUGAUUUUGGUUCAUAAAUAAAUAAUGAAAUGCAUGAAAGUCCUAGUGCACCAACAACCUUACAAAGAGAUCUUAAGAAGCUUUGGUCUUGAAAAAAACUCUUCUCUUUGAGGUGGUCUUCUUCUACAUGAUUUCUCCUUGGCUUGAUUUGUCUUUGGAUUACCACUUUGGAAGUCGUCUUGCCUAAUCACACUUAAAAUGUAGUCAUUAGUUUUAAACCUUGUUUUGUUAUCAUCAAAAUCAAGAUUAACCAAACCUUGGUUUCACAUCUUUGUUAUGGGAAUGGAAGUGUUGGACGUCCUCAUCAGGAGAGCUGUGGAGGGGGGAUACUUAUCAGGAUGCAUAAUUCGGGGUGGUAGUAGACCCUCUUUGAACAUCUCCCACCUAUUUUUUGCUGAUGACACAAUAGUGUUUUGUGAGGUAAGUAAAGAGCAAUUAUCUUACCUAAGUUGGAUUCUUCUUUGGUUUGAAGCAGCUUCAGGCCUUAGAAUUAAUUUAGCCAAAAGCGAAAUCAUCCCAGUUGGAGAAGUGGAGGAGAUUCAUGAGCUGGCAGUUGAGUUAGGGUGUAGGGUGGGAUCCUUGCCCUUUCAAUAUUUGGGACUCCCUCUAGUGGUUCCUAAUAGGGCUACUUCUAUGUGGGAUGGAGUGGAAGAGAGAGUUAGGAGGAGACUUGCGCUUUGCAAAAGGCAGUACAUUUCCAAAGGGGGGAGGAUCACUCUUAUAAAAAGCACCUUGGCUAGCAUGCCAAUAUACCAAAUGUUUAUUUUUCGAAUGCCCAAGUCUGUUGCUAAAAGAGUAGAGAAAGUUCAAAGGACUUCCUAUGGGGGGAGGACACUUAGAGGGGAAAAUUCAUCUAGUUAAAUGGAAUGUGGUUUGCACAGAAAAAAACAAGGGUGGGCUAGGCUUAAGGAAAAUAGCCAUGCUAAACAGAGCCUUGCUUGGUAAGUGGAUUUGGAGGUUUGCUUGUGAAAAAGAUUAUCUUUGGAAGCAAGUGAUCACAACGAAGUAUGGGUAAGAGGAUCAUGGAUGAAGGUCAAAGAAGUCUAAUGAGGCGGUUGGAGUAGGGGUGUGGAAGGAGAUUUUGAAAGAAUCUGAUUGGUGCUGGGAUAAUCUAGUGUUUCUAGUUGGGAAGGGCUCCAAAAUCAAAUUUUGGAAAGAUACUUGGUGCACUGACACACCGCUGUCCCAUUAUAUCACUUACCUCUUUGUUCUGGUCGCGCAUAGGGACGCAACAAUUGAGGAGAUGUGAGACCAAAAUUCUGGUCAAGGAGGCUGGAACCUAAUUUUUUUUAGAGACUUUAAUGAUUGGGAGUUGGAUAUGGUUGGGAAUUUGCUUCAUAUCUUGAGGGGUCAUAGGCCUUCUUUGGAGGAAGAUUCAAUUAUGUGGAGGCGAGGAAGAAAUGGUCUCUUUAGGGUCAAGGAAGCUUAUAGGCUGCUGGACAACCCUAAUGACAUAGUUUUUCCUUCAAGGAGCAUCUGGGUGGAUGAGGUGCCAACUAAAGUUGCUUUUUUCGCUUAGGAGGCGACGUGGGGGAAGGUGCUCACUCUGGAUAGGCUCCAGAUAAGAGGAGUGCAACUCCCUAAUUAUUGUUUUUUGUGUGGUUGUGAAGAAGAAAAUGUAAAUCAUAUUCUUAUACACUAUAUAGUGGCUAGAGCUAUGUGGGAUAUUAUUCUUGGGUUAGUAGAUGUUAAAUGGGUCUUCCCAAAAACUGUAAAGGAGGUCUUAACUACCUGGAGGGGCCCAUUUGUAGGGAAGAAAAAGAAAAAUGUUUGGAAAUUCAUACUGUUGUGUAUCUUUUGGACGGUUUGGAAUGAGAGGAAUAUGUUAGCUUUUAGGGGGGGGUGUUGAAUAUCCAGAAAUUAAAGAAUUUUUUUGUUUGUAACUUAUGGAGCUAGGCCAAAGUGUAUUUAGGCGAGGAGUCUCUCUCCCUUAUAGACUUUUUGGAGUGGGUAGCAUCCACUUAAAGGGAGGUAGUCCUUUUUUAGGCUUUAACUGCCUUGUAUACUCUGUGGCUUUUAACAUUUUUCUAAUGCAUAUCUUGUUUUCUUAUAAAAAAAAAAAAAUCAUUUUGUUUUGGGGAAUAUGAAACCAUUAAAGGUCAAUGCAUCCUACGAUUUUCAUAAUAUUUUUAAAAUUCUUUUAAUGUGAAUUCAUCUCUUCUAUUAGAUUUCUUUGGUUAUUAUGAUCACUUUCCUUUUCAAUAAGUGUUUUAAAUUUAUUAAAAGCACAAAAUACUUCAAUUUUUUCCUUUAAAAAAUACAUCCAAAAUUUUAUACUAAAAUCAUGAAUGAAAAACAAAAAAUAUUUAUUCUUACAAAAAAAAAAGUUUGAAUGAAUCGGAUCACAUACAUCCGAAUAAAUAAGUUUUAGAGACUUUUUAUUCUUAUACAUGCUUCUUUUGAAAAUUAUUUUUACAGCAUGUUUCUCAAAUAAGCAUCCUUCACAUUAUUCAUUCAUUUUUGGAAAGCAAUUCUCAUAUUUUUUUUGUUCUAACAAUUUUAAUUUAUCAAAAUUAAGAUAUUCAAAUCUUAAAUGUCAAAUCCAAAAGGAAUCAUUGACAUGAGAUUUUAGACAUUUUACAAUAUCAUUUUAUAUAUUUAAAAAAUAACAUUGCAUUUCUUGUCAUAGACAUAUUUACAUGCUAUCUCUUAUUAAAAGACUUUGAUUUUUCAUAUAAAUAUCAGUCUUUUUUUAAAAACUAGCCCAAACUUAAUAUAUUAUUUGUCAUGUUGGGUACAUAACAAAUAAUGUUCAAGAUAAAUCGAUGCAUUCCAUUCUUAUUUUACCUUUGCCUAGAUAUAUAAUAAUUCUUUCCCCACAAAAUGGACUUAACUUUGAACAGUUCCAAAGAUGGGUGAGCCCCAAAAAAAUGGCUAUUUGGACAAACUCUAAGGGUUGUUUGGGCUUGUCCAUUAAUUUGGGACAUGAAACCCACUAAAGGCUAAAGCCAGAAGCAGACUAGUCUUAUCCAAGAAGGUAGAACAUAAAAGUAUAUUACACACAAACGUUAUGGUAAUAGUUAAAAUAAAACUUUUGUUCAAUCACUCUUAAAUCUUACAAAAACCUUAUAAUUUCAGGGUAAUACUUCUUAGGAAGAUCAGUUUUCCCAUCUUCUCUACGCAUACAAUGAAGCUUCCAACCUGAAGAGAGAUACACCAAAGAAGAAGAAAAACAGAGCAGAAAGGCUUUCAUUCAUACUCAAAACUACAAUAUUUAUAAAGAAAUCAUCAGCUUCUAUGUAGAAGCCAAUGACCCAAUAUCAUACCCAGACCAAAUUCACAGAAAUCCCAAUUAGAUCAGCUUAUCUGCAAUUACCCACUCAGAAUCACGGAGAUUUAAGCGAUCUUGACCUCAAUGGUCUUGGGCUUCUUGGGCUCCGGCGGUGGUAGCUUCUCAACGGUGACGGUCAGUACUCCAUCUUGACAAACCGCGGAGAUCUUAUCAGUAUUCGCAUUCUCCGGCAACGCAAACUUCCUCAUAAACUUGCCUACCCUCCUCUCCAUUCUCACGUACUUGACGCCUUCCUUCUCUUCCUCGCGCUUCCUCUCUCCGCUGAUCACCAGCACAUUGUCGUCCUCCACCUGAACCUUGAUGUCGCCGGACUUCAGCCCCGGCAUGUCGACGAUGAAGGUGUAGGAAUUCGGGUACUCCUUGACGUCAGCAGGCGUCGCCGCCAUGGCCUUGGCGUCGCGGACGUAGGUGCGAGUGGGGGCGCUGACGGACUUGUCGGAGUCAUCGGUGGCGUCUAGCAUGUGUUGGAGGGCAGAGAAGAGUGGAGAAUCGAAGCCCAUCAUCCUCGAAUCCAUGUUGGGUGUCAGAGAUUUGUUGGUGUGAGAUUGUGAACAACUGCAAUUGCGAAUGUAGAAGUGCUUGAAUGUUGGAAGAAAUCGGAGGC